ACGGCGAAUGCCGGCGGGAUUACGUGGACCUUCAGGGUCGCCGGUUCGAAUCCGGCCGGGCAUCUGCCCGUAGCUCAGCUGUUAGAGCAUGAGGCACAUCUCGCCACCACCUCGUCGCCGUGCC
This 124-nucleotide Y RNA is filed under the name Stakelama sediminis. RNAcentral describes it as "Sphingomonas sp. CJ70 Y RNA-like". It matches the Rfam family "Y RNA-like". Rfam says of the family: In Deinococcus radiodurans Rsr is tethered via Y RNA to the exoribonuclease PNPase and channels single-stranded RNA into the PNPase cavity. Rsr and Y RNA enhance degradation of structured RNAs by PNPase. This role could be conserved, as Rsr and ncRNAs called YrlA and YrlB (Y RNA like) also associate with PNPase in an evolutionary distant bacterium Salmonella Typhimurium. The record is from Rfam by way of RNAcentral. Lineage: Bacteria; Pseudomonadati; Pseudomonadota; Alphaproteobacteria; Sphingomonadales; Sphingomonadaceae.